RNAcentral lists this ribosomal RNA (502 nucleotides) under uncultured bacterium. RNAcentral's name for it is "partial 16S ribosomal RNA". It matches the Rfam family "Bacterial small subunit ribosomal RNA", at positions 31 to 523 of the family's 1533-position model. The record is from RNAcentral.
AUAGAACGCUGGCGGCAUGCCUUACACAUGCAAGUCGAACGGCAGCGCGUCCUUCGGGAUGGCGGCGAGUGGCGAACGGGUGAGUAAAGCAUCGGAACGUGCCCGGUAGUGCGGGAUAGCUCGGCGAAAGCCGGAUUAAUACCGCAUGAGAUCCGAGGAUGAAAGCAGGGGACCCGCAAGGGCCUUGCGCUACUGGAGCGGCCGAUGUCAGAUUAGGUAGUUGGUGGGGUAAAGGCCUACCAAGCCUGCGAUCUGGAGCUGGUCUGAGAGGAUGAUCAGCCACAUCGGGACUGAGACACGGCCCGAACUCCUACGGGAGGCAGCAGUGGGGAAUUUUGGACAAUGGGCGCAAGCCUGAUCCAGCCAUGCCGCGUGCAGGAUGAAGGCCUUCGGGUUGUAAACUGCUUUUGUACGGAACGAAAAGCCCCCUUCUAAUAAAGGGGGGUGAUGACGGUACCGUAAGAAUAAGCACCGGCUAACUACGUGCCAGCCGCCGCGGUAA